RNAcentral lists this ribosomal RNA (762 nucleotides) under uncultured bacterium. RNAcentral describes it as "bacterial SSU rRNA". It matches the Rfam family "Bacterial small subunit ribosomal RNA", at positions 28 to 774 of the family's 1533-position model. The record is from RNAcentral.
GAUGAACGCUGGCGGCGUGCCUAACACAUGCAAGUCGAACGAAGCAUCGCGCCCGACAAAGAGGAGUGCUUGCACAAAUCGGAGUCAAUUGUGAUGACUUAGUGGCGGACGGGUGAGUAACGCGUGGGUAACCUGCCUUAUACAGGGGGAUAACAGUUAGAAAUGACUGCUAAUACCGCAUAAGCGCACAGUAUCGCAUGAUACAGUGUGAAAAGCCGAGACGGUAUAAGAUGGACCCGCGUCUGAUUAGCCAGUUGGCAGGGUAACGGCCUACCAAAGCGACGAUCAGUAGCCGGCCUGAGAGGGUGAACGGCCACAUUGGGACUGAGACACGGCCCAUACUCCUACGGGAGGCAGCAGUGGGGGAUAUUGGCACAUGGGGGAUACCCUGAUGCAGCGACGCCGCGUGAGUGAUGAAGUAUUUCGGUAUGUAAAACUAUAUCAGCAGGGAAGAAAAUGACGGUACCUGACUAAGAAGCUCCGGCUAAAUACGUGCCAGCAGCCGCGGUAAUACGUAUGGAGCAAGCGUUAUCCGGAUUUACUGGGUGUAAAGGGAGCGUAGACGGCGAGUCAAGUCUGAUGUGAAAGGUGAGAGCUCAACCCUUAAACUGCAUUGGAAACUGGUUUGCUAGAGUAUCGGAGAGGUAAGUGGAAUUCCUAGUGUAGCGGUGAAAUGCGUAGAUAUUAGGAGGAACACCAGUGGCGAAGUCGGCUUACUGGACGAUGACUGACGUUGAGGCUCGAAAGCGUGGGGAGCAAACA